This 77-nucleotide transfer RNA is filed under the name Yarrowia sp. C11. RNAcentral describes it as "tRNA-Lys". It matches the Rfam family "tRNA". Rfam says of the family: Transfer RNA (tRNA) molecules are approximately 80 nucleotides in length. Their secondary structure includes four short double-helical elements and three loops (D, anti-codon, and T loops). Further hydrogen bonds mediate the characteristic L-shaped molecular structure. tRNAs have two regions of fundamental functional importance: the anti-codon, which is responsible for specific mRNA codon recognition, and the 3' end, to which the tRNAs corresponding amino acid is attached (by aminoacyl-tRNA synthetases). tRNAs cope with the degeneracy of the genetic code in two manners: having more than one tRNA (with a specific anti-codon) for a particular amino acid; and 'wobble' base-pairing, i.e. permitting non-standard base-pairing at the 3rd anti-codon position. Lineage: Eukaryota; Fungi; Ascomycota; Dipodascomycetes; Dipodascales. The record is from RNAcentral. RNAcentral also lists the same sequence under 1 other name.
GCCUGGCUAGCUCAAUCGGUAGAGCGUGAGACUCUUAUUGUAUCUCAAGGCUGUGGGUUCAAGCCCCACGUCGGGCU